GGAUGUCGACGAGAUCGCCGAUAAACAGCGGAGUAAAGUGGAGAACUUGGCCAAAUACGUCCAUUUGCAGGAGGUAGGCACAUUUCAAAUUAUUAUUUCGGUCAGAAAAUAUUAACUAUUUUACACCAAACCAGUGAUAAUAUAUUUAAAUAAGUACCAAUUAUGUUUCUAUCAAAAAGAUUUAGGGAAAAAGGUAAUGUAAGUCGACUGCUGUUUAUCUGAAGUUGCAAGCCGCAAAUUGACGUUUAACUAUGAUUAUUGCAUGGUCACUUUCUUGUGAAAUAUUAGCGUUAGGCAUUUCACACUUACCAAUGAUCACCCCCAAAAGUACCAUCUCUGAACCAUAUAAGCACCUCAGAAUAGCCAAAGCUUUUAUGGUUUGGUAGAUAGCAGUAUGGCGAAAGCGUCGUUUUUGGGUGUGGUCAGUUUCGGACGUUUCGUCCCGGAUUGGGGUUCGGGCAGCGUUACCAUGUUGACCGUCAUGUUCAACUUGCCCUAAAACAGUUGAGAUUAUCUGUCCUAAAUGAAAUGCAUACAAACUCAUAUACAGGUCCUAGACUAUUCUUACGGAAUACUUAAUUUUAGAUUUUGGCCAGUUUGUCGCGUUUAGUUGUUGAGAAAAUGUAAUAAAAAGUUCAACAGUUGUCCGCCAUUUUGAAAAUAAACAUUUAUGCCACAGCAACAUUAUCUGACGUCAUUAGCUGGGUAAACACAAUUUCAUGACUAUAAAACAAUACCGAGUAAUCGAGUAUUACCACGCGUAGUGCACUUUGAGCCAAAACCAAGGGCAGAAAAGUUUUACCAUGAAAAUAUUAUCAUUUCCUUCUCGAACAUUUUAGUCUAUGAGUAAAAUGCAUGCGAACAUUGUGUUUCGCCGCCAUCUUGGAAAAUAUUUUUGAAAAAUUAUCUCGAACUUUGUGACGUCAUACCAAAACUACAAGAGAGAAUUCUAUUGAGUGCGUGCUAUGUUAGCUAAAAAUAUGUCAUUUUGAGCGUUAUACUGGCCAACACUCUUCGCAAUCAAACAAGAGAAGUCUACACUAUCAGAUAAAAACUUAUCGAGCGACUGGGAAAACAAGGAAUGGCGCAAUUUACAAUACAAGUAAAUGAUCAUAAAAUAUUGCAUUAGUGUUUACCUUGUUACACUCGAAUUUCUGCGUUUAUUUAACACGGAUAUAUGAGAAAUAGUGUUACAAACAAGUUACGUACUUAGUUGGGUCGUCAAGUAGGAUUGAAAUAGCCAAUAAAAAUUUUCGUUGCCAUUGUCCUUUAAAAUAUCACAUCAUAUUUUCUCUGAAGUAUUAUUUCAACUUUCAUGCUCAGAUUUAAUAGAUACAUUUUGGAAAAAAGCCGUUCGUUUUUUAGUUAACUUUUUUAUUUACUCCAGCCAUCGCCGCCAGCAAACAUUUUUUUGUCAAUUUUCCCGCGUUUUUCCCCGUUUCCUAGGAUACGCAAUCUCGGACCCAGAGCAAUGCCUGUGCGCGGGCUAGGAAGGCAUUGGCUCUGGGGAAAUUGACAACCGGAACCCCUAAAUUUAGGGGUUCCGGUUCUUUGUCGGCACGCACUAUUGAUAAACGUUCACCAAUCACAGCACAGGAAAAAUUCAAUUUCCCCAGAGCCAAUGCCUUUCUUACCUGCGCUCAGGCAUUGCUCUGGGUACGAGAUUGUAGGAUACGAGGCCUCAUCACGAUUUAUGAAUAAGGUCUAUGAAGGACAAAAAUGCUUGCAAACACAAGAGAAAAAUUGCCAAGAUAACAUACACGUCAUGUCAGCAGAAUUGCAAAAAAGGUUGUCGUUUACAAACCUUAAACCAUAAACUCUAAGCGUGCAAAGCAUAAUGGGAGCAUCAUUUAAUCAGUUAAGAAAUCACUUAUGGGGCCCAUUUUUGAGAGACAUGGUAAAUAUCUCCUUAUACGAGAACAAUUCAUUCGCAAAUAGCUGCAAUAUUCAACUACUAAGCUUGCUUUUGCUCCCAUUUAGCUUUGCGCGCUUAGAGUUUAAGGUUUAAAGUUUAAAAGGUUUGCAAAGGACAACCUUUUUUUAAUAUUUCACGUCAUGUUCUACUUUACAGACCCCGUUGAAGUUAUAGAAAUCCAUUAAAUAAGUGAUGCUUAUAAGUAAGCCACAAACGAGAGAUCCCAGACCCGUGUAGAGGUCCUAUUACCUAUCCCAAAAUUAAAAUAAAUCAGGAAUAAAUCACGUAAAAGUACUCCAGAAAAUGUUUACUUUGUUACUGUACAUGCUGACUUCUCAAAAAUAGUACUCUAGUACAGUAACGAAGUACAUUUACUUCGUUACUUGACACCACUAGGAUUUAAAGGCAAUUUUCCAUUGCAUGCAAUCGCUUCAGGGCCGCAGAUAGGGGGGCAGUGGGGGGGCAAAUUGCCCCAGGCCCCGUGGUGCUGGGGGCCCCUGAAUUUUUUUUUGUUGGGCCCCAAGAACAAGAUAUCUGUUUUUUGGGCUAAGUACCGAAAUUUGGCAUAAAAAAAUGAGAUAAAGUCCCUGGAAAGCAAUUGCAACGUACUCGUCCAGAAAAAUUUUUGACCUAAAAAGUUUUCGACCGGGGGGGGAAGUUGUUCUCCGGAAAAAAAUUUUUCCGGAAAAAUUUUUUGGAUAGGGGCCCCUAAAAAAAUUUUGCCCCGGGCCCCCGCCAACCUCUCGGCGGCCCUGAGUCGCUUUGCCCGCGCGGGCGGAGCGAACAUUACUCAACUUUCUCUGUAGUUGCCUAACCUGACGCCAUGGAAGUAGAACUACAUCAACUUUCUUGGCGAUAUUCCCCGAUAAUCAUCGAGCCUGAGGAGAAUAAAUUGUUUUAGUAUUUUUACACUACAAAAGUUGGCGCAUAUUUUAAUUAAUCUAACAUAAAACUCCUUUCAUAUAUUUUUAGUGACCUCCCAAACAGUCAAAGAGAAAGAGAUCAAACGAAAGAAAACCCAAGCAUUAGAAGACGUGCUAAAAACAUAUUUUCAGCCAUUAUAUUUUCAGCCAUCAUGAAAAACACUUACGAAAACCGAAAGGGGUUAAAAACUUAUAUAGUUCAAAUUAUUGUUAAAUAUUC
Molecule: non-coding RNA, 3058 nt
Organism: Paramuricea clavata
Lineage: Eukaryota; Metazoa; Cnidaria; Anthozoa; Malacalcyonacea; Plexauridae
Source: the annotation of a GenBank genome assembly